ACCUCUGAACUAGCUGUGCCUGUGGCUGCGGCAAUGGCAGUGGCUGUGGUAUAGCUCCGACAACCUGACAAAGCAUCUGAGUCAUCUGCUCUAAGAAUGUCUGCUGUGCCCUACCAACGGCACCCUGUGAUGACUCCUCUCUCCUGUCCUGCUUCUAACUACGAGCAGGUACAUGACUCUCAACUACCUCUUCCACAUGUCUAGGGGAUUCGUGUUCCGAAGUAUCAGAAGCCAUCUAACCUAUAAA
RNAcentral lists this unclassified non-coding RNA (247 nucleotides) under Hevea brasiliensis (rubber tree). Lineage: Eukaryota; Viridiplantae; Streptophyta; Magnoliopsida; Malpighiales; Euphorbiaceae. The record is from RNAcentral.